UGAGGAAUAUUGGACAAUGGGCGAAAGCCUGAUCCAGCCAUGCCGCGUGUGUGAAGAAGGUCUUCGGAUUGUAAAGCACUUUAAGUUGGGAGGAAAGGCAUUAACCUAAUACGUUAGUGUUUUGACGUUACCGACAGAAUAAGCACCGGCUAACUCUGUGCCAGCAGCCGCGGUAAUACAGAGGGUGCAAGCGUUAAUCGGAAUUACUGGGCGUAAAGCGCGCGUAGGUGGUUUGUUAAGUUGGAUGUGAAAGCCCCGGGCUCAACCUGGGAACUGCAUCCAAAACUGGCAAGCUAGAGUACGGUAGAGGGUGGUGGAAUUUCCUGUGUAGCGGUGAAAUGCGUAGAUAUAGGAAGGAACACCAGUGGCGAAGGCGACCACCUGGACUGAUACUGACACUGAGGUGCGAAAGCGUGGGGAGCAAACA
Molecule: ribosomal RNA, 427 nt
Filed under: uncultured bacterium
Lineage: Bacteria
Description: partial 16S ribosomal RNA
Rfam family: Bacterial small subunit ribosomal RNA
Source: RNAcentral